This is a non-coding RNA of Triangularia setosa, 71 nucleotides long. The record is from the annotation of a GenBank genome assembly. NCBI's taxonomy places the organism in Eukaryota, Fungi, Ascomycota, Sordariomycetes, Sordariales, Podosporaceae.
GGCAUGGUAGUAUAGCGGUUAUUAUAUUCCAGAGUUUGAGUGAAGACCCAGGUUCGACUCCUGGCUUGUCA